GAACAGUUUGUGAUUUAUUUAUGUCCUCUAUGUGUGAGUGUUUUCUCCGCAUGUAUGUAGGUAUGCUACAUGUGUGCCUAGCGCCUACAGAGGCCAGAAGAGGAUACUGGAUGCUCAAGCUAGGCCUAGGGUCACUUUCACUUCUGUUGCCCUUAGAUCAAGAUAUAGAAAACUCUCAGCUCCUUCUCCAGCACCAUGUCCGUGUACAUACCGCCAUGUUUCCCACAAUGACAGUAGUGAACUAAACCUCUGAACUAUAAGCAAGCACCAGAUUAAAUGUUGUCCUUUAUAGG
RNAcentral lists this long non-coding RNA (293 nucleotides) under Rattus norvegicus (Norway rat). Its description in RNAcentral is "long non-coding RNA NONRATT021286". Lineage: Eukaryota; Metazoa; Chordata; Mammalia; Rodentia; Muridae. The record is from RNAcentral.